GUUUAACGCUGGCGGCGUGCCUAAUACAUGCAAGUCGAACGGAACACUAUUUCUGAGAACCUCGCUCCUUUGCGGGAUUGUCAUCAGUAGUGUUUAGUGGCGGACGGGUGAGUAACACGUUGGUACCUGCCCUUUAGUGGGGAAUAACUCGGCGAAAGUCGGGCUAAUACCGCAUGUGAUCCUUCGGGAUUAAAGCCUUCGGGCGCUAAAGGAGGGGCCUGCGUCUGAUUAGCUUGUUGGUAAGGUAAUGGCUUACCAAGGCGAUGAUCAGUAGCUGGUUCGAGAGGAUGAUCAGCCACACUGGAACUGAGAUACGGUCCAGACUCCUACGGGAGGCAGCAGUAAGGAAUCUUCCGCAAUGGACGAAAGUCUGACGGAGCAACGCCGCGUGCAGGAUGAAGGCUUUCGGGUCGUAAACUGCUUUUGUAUGGGAAGAUUAUGACGGUACCAUACGAAUAAGGACCGGCUAACUACGUGCCAGCAGCCGCGGUAAUACGUAGGGUCCAAGCGUUAUCCGGAAUUACUGGGCGUAAAGCGUCUGUAGGCGGAUUGUUAAGUGCAUCGCGAAAUCCUGUGGCUCAACCAUAUGGACUGUGAUGCAUACUGGCAAUCUAGAGGAUGGCAGAGGCAAGUGGAAUUACCGGUGUAGCAGUGAAAUGCGUAGAUAUCGGUAGGAACACCAAUGGCGAAGGCAGCUUGCUGGGCCAUUUCUGACGCUAAGAGACGAAAGCGUGGGGAGCGAACAGGAUUAGAUACCCUGGUAGUCCACGCCGUAAACGAUGCACACUAGCAAUAUGGAGUAUCGACCCUCUGUGUUGCGAAGCUAACGCGUUAAGUGUGCCGCCUGGGGAGUACGAGCGCAAGCUUAAAACUCAAAGGAAUUGACGGGGACCCGCACAAGCAGUGGAGGAUGUGGUUUAAUUCGAAGCUACGCGAAGAACCUUACCGAGGCUUGACAUCCCAGGAAGGCCGCCGAAAGGUGGCUGUGCCUUCGGGAGCCUGGUGACAGGUGCUGCAUGGCCGUCGUCAGCUCGUGUCGUGAGAUGUUGGGUUAAGUCCCGCAACGAGCGCAACCCUUGUCGUCUGUUGUAUUUUUCAGACGAGACUGCCCGGGCCAACCGGGAGGAAGGUGGGGAUGACGUCAGGUCAGCAUGGCCCUUACGCCUCGGGCCACACACGUCCUACAAUGGCCGGUACAAUGCGUUGCCAACCCGCAAGGGGGAGCUAAUCGCACCAAAACCGGUCUCAGUUCGGAUUGCAGGCUGAAACUCGCCUGCAUGAAGUUGGAAUUGCUAGUAAACGUGGGUCAGCAUACCACGUUGAAUACGUUCCCGGGUCUUGUACACACCGCCCGUCACACCACGAAAGUCGCCAAUGCCCGACGUGCCUACAUUGCUAGGUCCUAAGGCAGGGGUGGUAAUUGGGGUG
This 1428-nucleotide ribosomal RNA is filed under the name uncultured bacterium. RNAcentral describes it as "bacterial SSU rRNA". It matches the Rfam family "Bacterial small subunit ribosomal RNA". The record is from RNAcentral.